UAAAAGGUUCUACUUAGAACCACAUUAUUGAAAUAUUUAGAAUUACU
Non-coding RNA from Biomphalaria glabrata, 47 nucleotides. The record is from Rfam. NCBI's taxonomy places the organism in Eukaryota, Metazoa, Mollusca, Gastropoda, Planorbidae.